CACGGAUAACAUACCGAAAGGUAUGCUAAUACGGGAUAAUAUAUUUGAGAGGCAUCUCUUAAAUAUCAAAGGUGAGCCAGUACAGGAUGGACCCGCGUCUGAUUAGCUAGUUGGUAAGGUAACGGCUUACCAAGGCGACGAUCAGUAGCCGACCUGAGAGGGUGAUCGGCCACAUUGGAACUGAGACACGGUCCAAACUCCUACGGGAGGCAGCAGUGGGGAAUAUUGCACAAUGGGCGAAAGCCUGAUGCAGCAACGCCGCGUGAGUGAUGAAGGCCUUCGGGUCGUAAAACUCUGUCCUCAAGGAAGAUAAUGACGGUACUUGAGGAGGAAGCCCCGGCUAACUACGUGCCAGCAGCCGCGGUAAUACGUAGGGGGCUAGCGUUAUCCGGAUUUACUGGGCGUAAAGGGUGCGUAGGCGGUCUUUCAAGUCAGGAGUGAAAGGCUACGGCUCAACCGUAGUAAGCUCUUGAAACUGGGAGACUUGAGUGCAGGAGAGGAGAGUGGAAUUCCUAGUGUAGCGGUGAAAUGCGUAGAUAUUAGGAGGAACACCAGUCGCGAAGGCGGCUCUCUGGACUGUAACUGACGCUGAGGCACGAAAGCGUGGGGAGCAAACAGGAUUAGAUACCCUGGUAGUCCACGCUGUAAACGAUGAGUACUAGGUGUCGGGGGUUACCCCCUUCGGUGCCGCAGCUAACG
This 699-nucleotide ribosomal RNA is filed under the name uncultured bacterium. RNAcentral's name for it is "bacterial SSU rRNA". It matches the Rfam family "Bacterial small subunit ribosomal RNA", at positions 138 to 857 of the family's 1533-position model. The record is from RNAcentral.